CCCGGCCUGUCAGAUAGCUUAUCAGACUGGUGUUGGCUGUUAAGAUUGCAAGGCGACAACAGUCUGUAGGCUGUCUGACAUUUUGGG
Oryzias sinensis (Chinese medaka) is the source of this 87-nucleotide microRNA precursor. Ensembl annotates it as microRNA 21. The record is from Ensembl. NCBI's taxonomy places the organism in Eukaryota, Metazoa, Chordata, Actinopteri, Beloniformes, Adrianichthyidae.